AUUUAAUUGCGUUAGGGAUAGCAGUGAAAAGCCCACAGCCGUUUUUACGGUGAGGACUUGAAACAUAUAGCCCGACCUUUA
This 81-nucleotide unclassified non-coding RNA is filed under the name Paracellulophaga baltica. RNAcentral describes it as "Cellulophaga baltica Flavo-1 RNA". The record is from RNAcentral. Lineage: Bacteria; Pseudomonadati; Bacteroidota; Flavobacteriia; Flavobacteriales; Flavobacteriaceae.